Molecule: non-coding RNA, 628 nt
Organism: Linepithema humile (Argentine ant)
Lineage: Eukaryota; Metazoa; Arthropoda; Insecta; Hymenoptera; Formicidae
Source: RefSeq, a predicted model, not a curated record
UUGCAUAGUCUGGCUUUAUGCAUAUACUAUGCAAAUCUGUCUGGAUACACCUUUACUGACAGUGCAUUUUAGAACAGACUCAUUACAGUAUGCCUUGUAACGUAUCGUAUUCACGGAUUUCUUUUGUUCCUGCUUUGGGAAUCGUUUGAAAUUGUCAAAGGUUUUCAUUGCCAGGUUAGCUUCAUGCUGAAAUGUGGCGAUGAUGCAUCCGAACAUCUUAACAUUAGCGAUAAACUGGAUAUCGGCCGGUUUGUUCUUCCUGUCGUCAUCGAGUAUCUCGACUGCUUUCGAGCGGGCCCGUCUUGAACGUUGUAGCAAGGCCUCUCUUUUUCUCUCUUGACACGUAAAGGACCUUUAGUCUUUACUUCUUUAAACGCCGUGAUAGAGUGGCUGCGAGGAAGGGGGACGGCUCUCGACCGGUAGCGAAAGAGACGCGAGGCCUCGCAGAAGGGGACGUUGGGGAGUUCACCUUUAUAUCGUGGUACGAGGGCCACUCGAGAGGCCAGGAAGCGUCGAGAAUACUGAAUGCUAGAAAGUGUACUUACGGUUCGAGCCUUUCGCCGCCGACAAUGCUUCAAGGCUGCUAGUUCUCCGACACCCGGCACCACACCGACCCCCAUGCCGGCGC